Molecule: RNA transcript, 1269 nt
Organism: Periophthalmus magnuspinnatus
Lineage: Eukaryota; Metazoa; Chordata; Actinopteri; Gobiiformes; Gobiidae
Gene: znf511
Gene name: zinc finger protein 511
Exons: 8
Source: RefSeq, a predicted model, not a curated record
AAUUCGCGCCGCACAGACAAAAUAUUUCCACCAAAACACACUUUUUUCUCAAGUGAAAUUGUUAUUUUAAUAAUGCUACAGCCGCAUUUAGCUCACUUAAUGACAGAAGAAAAUGUUUUAGUAAAAAGCUCUGUUGACAACUGUCCGACAUCAAGUGAAACUGAAGGAAAAGAUGAAAAUCCGUUUAACUUCCAACCUCAAGUGAUACACCUGCCCAAAGACCAUGAGCUUUUUGAGGAUGGGGACGUUCAGAGACACAUGUACCUGCAAAACCUUUACAUCUCAGCAGCAGAUGAGGAGCCCGCUCUCAGAGUGUCAGAGUUUGCCUGCCACAUCUCUGGCUGUACAGCAACCUUUAAAACUUUGCAGGAAUAUGAGCACCACUAUAACUCACUGCAUAGACAUGUGUGUUGCACAUGCCGCCGUUCUCUCCCCACCGCUCGCCUCCUGGACAUUCAUAUACAGGAGUGGCACGACUCCCUCUUUGCUGUCCUGGCGCAGAAACAAGAUAUGUACCAGUGUCUGGUGGAGGGCUGCGGACUCAAGUUUAGGACGAUUAAGGACAGAAAGGACCACUUAAUAAUUAUUCACAAAUACCCACCAGACUUCAGAUUUGACAAAAUAAGAAGAGACAACAGGGACAAGAGGAGAGCGCUGCCCAGUGACACAGAGAUGGAAGUUGUGACUGAUGUGUGUGAGUCUGAGGGCAUGUGUGAAGUUGUCUGCGGCACUACGUCAAACCAAAGAGAUCCAGACCCCAGUGAUAUGAAUGUUUCAGAAGAAAACACUGGCCAUAUGGAGACAUCUGCAUCCACUGCUCCCGAUCCCACUGAACCGACAAAACCCCGAUACUCUUACAGGGUUCCUCCAAAUGUGUGCUUUGGUCAAGGUUCAGUGCGCGGAUUUAGAGGACAGCGAGGAAAGAGAAAAUAACACUUGUUUCAUUGAUAUUGAGUUUGGUGACACAGAGGCGCGUUCCACAUGGCGUCUGACAGAGAGCCCAGCCUACAACAUCGAGUGAUAACAGGUUUGUAAUUAUGGUUUGAAGCGGCUGGAGCCAGACGAUCCACAGGGUCCCACCGGGGAACAAAGGGGGUCUGCGGAGGCCAGGUCAAGGAGCACCGUGAGUGUACAGAGCACACUCAGACAUGGAUACAUGGCAGCGCUCUGGAAAUGGCAUCAACAUCGCAUUAGUCAGGAAUUUAUGCUAAAGCUGACUAUGCAUUUAAUGUCACAGGCAGCAUUCCAGAAAUACAGCAUUUGUGGUUA